RNAcentral lists this transfer RNA (99 nucleotides) under Bacteroidota bacterium. RNAcentral describes it as "tRNA-Asn". It matches the Rfam family "tRNA". Rfam says of the family: Transfer RNA (tRNA) molecules are approximately 80 nucleotides in length. Their secondary structure includes four short double-helical elements and three loops (D, anti-codon, and T loops). Further hydrogen bonds mediate the characteristic L-shaped molecular structure. tRNAs have two regions of fundamental functional importance: the anti-codon, which is responsible for specific mRNA codon recognition, and the 3' end, to which the tRNAs corresponding amino acid is attached (by aminoacyl-tRNA synthetases). tRNAs cope with the degeneracy of the genetic code in two manners: having more than one tRNA (with a specific anti-codon) for a particular amino acid; and 'wobble' base-pairing, i.e. permitting non-standard base-pairing at the 3rd anti-codon position. The record is from RNAcentral. Lineage: Bacteria; Pseudomonadati; Bacteroidota.
GGGGAUGUGGCGGAAUAUGUAACAGUAUUAAGGAGAAGUAGGUAUCGAAGCGCCUUGUUACAGGCGUGAGCUUCGCAGGUUCGAGCCCUGCCAUCCCCG